Molecule: small nuclear RNA, 103 nt
Organism: Suncus etruscus (white-toothed pygmy shrew)
Lineage: Eukaryota; Metazoa; Chordata; Mammalia; Eulipotyphla; Soricidae
Source: RefSeq, a predicted model, not a curated record
GUACUAGCUUCGGCAGCACAUAUACUAAAAUUGGAAUGAUAGAAGAUUAGCAUGGUCCCUGUGCAAGGAUGACAUGCAAAUUCAUGAAGCACUCGAUAUUAAA